Molecule: non-coding RNA, 130 nt
Filed under: Pan troglodytes (chimpanzee)
Lineage: Eukaryota; Metazoa; Chordata; Mammalia; Primates; Hominidae
Source: RNAcentral
CCGGAGCCAUUGUGUCUCUGGCCGAUUGCGCCGGCCCUCGGGCACUCAGGGAGGCGAGGGUGCGAGGGCCUCGAGUUCGAGGCCAACCUGGUCCACAUUGGUAGGACAAAAAAAAAAAAAAUUUUUUUUU